Athalia rosae (coleseed sawfly) is the source of this 819-nucleotide long non-coding RNA. RefSeq lists it as uncharacterized. The record is from RefSeq and is a predicted model, not a curated record. The transcript is spliced from 3 exons. NCBI's taxonomy places the organism in Eukaryota, Metazoa, Arthropoda, Insecta, Hymenoptera, Athaliidae.
UGACGUAGUGGCUGCAGAUCUAAAUAUAAAGCAAAAAAAAACAACGAAUAGGCGCAGAUAGACAGACAUUUUAGUCAUCAAGCUGCAUCCGACUAGUUGAUAUUCUGGUAAGUAAUAUAAUCACAAGAUCAAAGAGGUUUCUGAAAAUGCAUUUUGAUGAAGCAGUGUGCAAUGUCAAGUUAAAAUCGAUAUAAAAGUACACAAGAUUAAUUUACCUACUCCUUAUGUUUCUUGAAUAAAAAAUAUCUGUUUCAUUUCUCAAUGUUGGAGACAGCAUAUUAUCUAAGAAUAUCAAUGAAUUAUAAUGUUCCAAAAAAUCUUAUUUUCACUCACGGAUUAUGAUGUCGUACAAAAUCUCUGACACGAUAGACAGAUGCGUUCCGGCAAAGUUCUCGCAGAUCAGAGCCAGAAAAACCCUCCGUCAUGUUGCUCAGGGCAUACUGAUGUGGAAGGUUGCGGGCAUUCGACGUAGAAUGGCUUUGUCUAGAUCUUGAGGCCGAUUGGUAGCUCCCAUAAUGAUGACAGUACACGUUGGAUCUGUGAUCAGUCCAUCCCAUAAUGACAUAAACUGAGCUUUCAUCAUAGCAGUAGCUUCAUGGUCGUGUGUAUUACGCGUCCGAAGAAAGGAAUCUUCACAGAAUACACAAUUGAGGUUGAAACGACCUUGUUCUUCACGUAAAAUGGGAGUUCCUGUAAGAUUGGGGGAAGUCCCCGUUUGCUGACCAAUUAUGCCCAGGGAAAUGGACAUCCUUACUCGAUGAAAAGUGUUUCACAAAGAAUAUGAGACGAAUUAAAAAUUUGGUGGCGAUUUUUCAUAAA